RNAcentral lists this unclassified non-coding RNA (1862 nucleotides) under uncultured fungus. RNAcentral describes it as "sequence contains 18S rRNA gene, ITS1, 5.8S rRNA gene, ITS2, 28S rRNA gene". The stretch from base 739 to 1862 matches the Rfam family "Eukaryotic large subunit ribosomal RNA", at positions 1 to 961 of the family's 3401-position model. Lineage: Eukaryota; Fungi. The record is from RNAcentral.
GGAAGGAUCAUUAUUGAAUGUUAGUACUAUGUAUGUACUAUAGCACCGUUUUUUGUCCCAACUUGUGGUUAUGGAUGGCAUCAUCUGAAAUUGACUGAAAACUGUUGAUAUAAAUAAAAUACAACUUUCAACAACGGAUCUCUUGGCUCUCAUAUCGAUGAAGAACGUAGCAAAUUGCGAAAAGUAAUGUGAAUUGCAGAAUUCAGUGAAUCAUCGAAUCUUUGAACGCAUCUUGCACUCUCUGGUAUUCCGGAGAGUAUGUCUGUUUGAGCAUCCUAUACGUCCCAUCAAAGAUCUAAUCUUUGGACGAUGAGUGCUAUUUGUCUAUACAAAUUCACUUGAAAUGCAUAGUUCUGCCUGUGCUGGCGCGGCCCCGGAAACGGUGGUUGAGGCCGGCCGGGUCGGUGCGAGUCCACUUGGCUCGUGUGGGGGGAUGAACAUAGCCGUUCUCCUGCCCGUCCGCACUGAUGGCAAGCGUUUGUAGACUGGUCAAGUCCAUUGUUCACUCAAUGAUUGUCGGUUUGCACGUGCGUGCCGGACGGUGAGGGGCUGGUAGCUUGUAGAAUGGGCUCACUGGAGUGUCCCCGGCCCAGCAAUGGGCGACCAUGCGUGUGAAGACGCAUCGAGCCGGCUGUCGCAACCAACAGAUUCGCUGGUGCCCAGCACGGAAUGCGUGCAGAGUAAUCUAGCGUGUGUCGGCGGAGCAAUCUCGCACCCCGAGUGUCCAUUCAAUGUUAUGGAUCUCAAAUCAGACAAGACUACCCGCUGAAUUUAAGCAUAUAACUAAGCGGAGGAAAAGAAACUAACUAGGAUUCCUUCAGUAACGGCGAGUGAAGCAGGAAUAGCUCAACAUUGAAAUCUGUCUUGGGUAAUACCAGGACUGAAUUGUAGUUUCAAGAAGCAUGGUGGAUGGCAGGCUUGCUGGGUACAAAUCUCUUGGAACAGAGUAUCAUAGAGGGUGAGAAUCCCGUCCAUGACCCAGUGUGUCUGUCCUUGUCGCCGGCUUUCAAAGAGUCAGGUUGUUUGGGAUUGCAGCCUAAAAUGGGUGGUAAAUUUCAUCUAAAGCUAAAUAACGAUGAGAGACCGAUAGCGAACAAGUACCGUGAGGGAAAGAUGAAAAGUACUCUGAAAAGAGAGUUAAAAGUACGUGAAAUUGUUGAAAGGGAAACACUUGGAACUAGUCCAGGCUGGCAGUGAGUCAGCCGGCUGUUGUGCUUGCGCGGUAGAUCUGGAUCAAGUAAUUGACUAGGCCUGUUGCUGGAGCACGACCGCCGGUGCACCUUACUGCAGGCGAGUCAACAUCAGUCUGGCAGAGGGGAAAAAGGCAGUUGCAAGUUCUGCAAGCGGUCUAGGCCGCUUGCAGAACUGGCUGCUCAUACCUUCCGCUAGACUGAGGAGUGCACUAGUCGGUUUGUCAGUUGGCGAGUGUUGCGUCCGCGGGGUCGGAACAGUUUAACUGGUCUGGCUGUGCGGGCGUUCCACGCGCUGCUUACCAUAUAGCGGCAUAGUACGGAUGUUGACGUAAUGGUUUCAAAUGACCCGUCUUGAAACACGGACCAAGGAGUCUAACAUGGAUGCAAGUAUUUGGGUGGACUAAACCCAUAUGCGCAAUGAAAGUGAACGUGUGGGAUUUCCGUGGCAACAUGGAAUGCACCAUUGACCGAUCUUGUCUAGCCUCGGCUUGAUAGAUUUGAGUAAGAGCAUGCAUGCUGGGACCCGAAAGAUGGUGAACUAUGCCUGAAUAGGGUGAAGUCAGACGAAAGUCUGAUGGAGGCUCGUAGCGAUUCUGACGUGCAAAUCGAUCGUCAAAUUUGGGUAUAGGGGCGAAAGACUAAUCGAACCAUCUAGUAGCUGGUUCCUGC